Molecule: ribosomal RNA, 494 nt
Filed under: uncultured bacterium
Lineage: Bacteria
Description: partial 16S ribosomal RNA
Rfam family: Bacterial small subunit ribosomal RNA
Source: RNAcentral
GACGAACGCUGGCGGCGUGCUUAACACAUGCAAGUCGAACGGAAAGGCCUGCUUUCCCUUGUGGAUUGCGGGUACUCGAGUGGCGAACGGGUGAGUAACACGUGAGUGAUCUGCCCCCAACCUGGGUAUAAGCCUGGGAAACUGGGUCUAAUUCCCGAUAGGACUGCAGGGUGGUGCCUGUGGUGGAAAACGAUUUUCUAGUGGUUGGGGAUGAGCUCGCGGCCUAUCAGCUUGUUGGUGGGGUAAUGGCCUACCAAGGCGGCGACGGGUAGCCGGCCUGAGAGGGUGGACGGCCACAUUGGGACUGAGAUACGGCCCAGACUCCUACGGGAGGCAGCAGUGGGGAAUAUUGCACAAUGGGCGGAAGCCUGAUGCAGCGACGCCGCGUGGGGGAUGACGGCCUUCGGGUUGUAAACUCCUUUCGACCGCGAGGAAGCCACCUGGUUGGAAGGGUGGUGACGGUAGUGGUAGAAGAAGCACCGGCUAACUACGUG